CCUACGGGAGACAGCAGUGGGGAAUAUUGCACAAUGGGGGAAACCCUGAUGCCGCGACGCCGCGUGAGUGAAGAAGUAUUUCGUUAUGUAAAGUUCUAUCAGCAGGGAAGAAAAUGACGGUAGCUGAGUAAGAAGCCCCGGCUAACUACGUGCCAGCAGCCGCGGUAAUACGUAGGGGGCAAGCGGUAUCCGGAUUUACUGGGUGUAAAGGGAGCGUAGACGGCAGUGCAAGUCUGGAGUGAAAGGCGGGGGCUCAACCCCCGGACUGCUCUGGAAACUGUACGGCUUGAGUGCAGGAGAGGUAAGUGGAAUUCCUAGUGUAGCGGUGAAAUGCGUAGAUAUUAGGAGGAACACCAGUGGCGAAGGCGGCUUACUGGACUGUAACUGACGUUGAGGCUCGAAAGCGUGGGGAGCAAACAGGAUUAGAUACCCUAGUAGUC
RNAcentral lists this ribosomal RNA (440 nucleotides) under uncultured bacterium. RNAcentral describes it as "partial 16S ribosomal RNA". It matches the Rfam family "Bacterial small subunit ribosomal RNA", at positions 338 to 795 of the family's 1533-position model. The record is from RNAcentral.